AAUAAACCCCUAUGUCAGUUUUGUUUUUCUACUCAACGUUAUACAUUUUAUACGUACAAUUUUUAAACGUAACCAUAGGGAAAUAAGUUCGAUGAAAAUAGCUAAGAACAUCCAUGGAUGCUAAUAUUUACAAGGUGAAAUUUCUAUGGGUCAUCGACGUAGUUUUGGUCAAUAUCUGUCUUAUGACAAUUGAUUGCCAGUCAGG
Molecule: non-coding RNA, 205 nt
Organism: Parasteatoda tepidariorum (common house spider)
Lineage: Eukaryota; Metazoa; Arthropoda; Arachnida; Araneae; Theridiidae
Source: RefSeq, a predicted model, not a curated record